AUCCCUCCAGCAACGGAUGUGGGCUCUGUCCAGCCUCAUAUACCAUUCCAAGGAUGCCCCAGCUAGGCUGUCCUGGAAGAAGUACAUAAGUAGCUUCUCGUCAUCAGAGUAUGCAACCAUUUUACGGAAAUAGGCUUGCACGUGAGUCUUGGGGCAAGAGUUGCCCUUGUACUUGUCAAAGACCGGGACUUUGAAUUUCGGUGGCACUCUCACACCUGGGACCAGCCCUAAGUCAGCAACGUCUACUCCCAAAGGAUUCUGUCCUUCCACUGCCUUCAACCUCUCUUCCAAUCUCCUGAACAUGGGGUCUACGCCAUGACCCAU
Molecule: long non-coding RNA, 324 nt
Filed under: Lathyrus oleraceus (garden pea)
Lineage: Eukaryota; Viridiplantae; Streptophyta; Magnoliopsida; Fabales; Fabaceae
Description: Pisum sativum (pea) long non-coding RNA (PSAT_LNC040139)
Source: RNAcentral